RNAcentral lists this ribosomal RNA (253 nucleotides) under uncultured bacterium. RNAcentral's name for it is "partial 16S ribosomal RNA". It matches the Rfam family "Bacterial small subunit ribosomal RNA", at positions 524 to 776 of the family's 1533-position model. The record is from RNAcentral.
UACGUAGGUGGCAAGCGUUGUCCGGAUUUACUGGGCGUAAAGAGCGCGCAGGCGGUCGAUUUAGUCGCGUGUGAAAGCCCCCGGCUCAACUGGGGAGGGUCACGCGAUACUGUUCGACUCGAAGGCAGGAGAGGGAAGCGGAAUUCCCGGUGUAGUGGUGAAAUGCGUAGAUAUCGGGAGGAACACCAGUGGCGAAGGCGGCUUCCUGGCCUGUUCUUGACGCUGAGGCGCGAAAGCUAGGGUAGCAAACGGG